This 322-nucleotide ribosomal RNA is filed under the name Cercozoa sp. RNAcentral's name for it is "SSU rRNA". The stretch from base 112 to 322 matches the Rfam family "Eukaryotic small subunit ribosomal RNA", at positions 744 to 955 of the family's 1831-position model. The record is from RNAcentral. Lineage: Eukaryota; Cercozoa.
GAUUUCUGGGCUCAAGAAUUUGGCCAGCCGCGGUUUCGCGUGUUCGUGCUUUGUUCUGUGUCCAUCCUUCCAAUCGCUACUGGUCAUUCUUCAUUGAGUGGCCAGUGGUAUUGGAUCUUUUACUUUGAAAAAAUUAGAGUGUUUCAAGCAGGCUUUAUGCUAUGAAUACAUUAGCAUGGAAUAAUAAUUUAGGACUUCGGUUCUAUUUUGUUGGUUUCUAGGACUGAAGUAAUGAUUGAUAGGGAUAGUUGGGGGUGCUAGUAUUCAGCGGCCAGAGGUGAAAUUCUCGGAUUCGCUGAAGACUAACUUAUGCGAAAGCAUU